Molecule: long non-coding RNA, 2833 nt
Organism: Anguilla rostrata (American eel)
Lineage: Eukaryota; Metazoa; Chordata; Actinopteri; Anguilliformes; Anguillidae
Exons: 3
Source: RefSeq, a predicted model, not a curated record
UACGGCUCUCUAAGGGCGGGACGCCUGUCGUUUUGUUGAUGGACCGUGCUGGAAAUAACGGCAUGAUGUCGUUAAGGACCCGAAGCUCCCCCGACUCACUCAUCCGCCUUGCUGCCGCUCAACAAAACAUGCGAAACAACCAGACCGGAAACAACCGGUACAUUCAUUCACUCAGCCUAGAUGUCGGUGUUCUCCCCCGUCCAGGGUAAUCUGCUCUGCCGGACCCUCGAGGCCUUCAGAUUGACACCGAGAGCACAGGAUAUCACAUGAGCAGAUACUGUACGACUUGGCCACAGAUGUAUGACUGCAAGCAAAUGGACCAUAUCAACUGAGAAAACACACGUGAUCAUGACUAGACAGACUAUGACCAGGCUGUACAUGCAUGACAUAUGUAUAACCACAAUCAGGACAUCCAACACCAAUCCAGUUUUUCUCCCCUCAGGAGUCAGAAACCUUGUCUCCCAAAGAUUAAAAGUGUGUUGAAUUUCCUUGCAUUGCUGCAGCUCUACUCAUAUUGGAGAGGAUGUGGCUGGACUGUGAUGUCCUACUGUAUGUCUGUUGGAGGUGUUCUGGGACGCAGGCGGCUGUAUUACAGGGCUGAUGAAUGUAUUCUCUGACUGCGUCUUGGAAAUCCAACGCUAAAUGUCACAAUUUGCAUGCCGGUCCUCUGGGUUUGCGAAAUCAGAGCCGGAGAUAGAGGCACGGGGGUACGGACCAGUAAUUGCCCUGAGAAAUUUCUCCCAGGAAAAAAUGCUAUUCAUCUUAAAAUAUGAAACAUUUUCCCACCGAUUGAGUCGGACGUUCCACGGCGUAAAAAAAAUGUUGCCCCUUUGGCAGAGAAAACAACAUUCACCCGAGGAAACGUCGCUUCCAUCGCUUUCAGUUUUUAAGAACUUGCCACGGGGAAGCCAAGGACAAAAGAGCCAUUGAGGGAACUCAGAACCAGAUGAUCUCGGGGGCAUGAGCACAGUGUACUACAAUGCGAGUCAUUAGUCAUCUUUUAUUGCCUCGGUGACAAAAAGACAGAGGAAUCUCAUUUUCUUUUCUCUUCUCCUUUAUGGAAGUGUGGGGACAUUUUUGAAGAUGUGGGAUCAGGGAAUCCUGAGUCAUACAUAAAGCACAUUUAAUCUUAGCAGAAUGGUUUUUGUUUGGAACGCUUUUUGGGAGAAAUGUUUUCCCACUGAGCGGGCCCAAACUGGUGAAGAAGUCCAUUGUGCGGUGGGUGCGGACGCUGAGGGCUUUUCAGGAAAUGUAACCGGGUUCAUCUUUUUGCUUUCUCCAUUAUUUAUUUUCGAAAUCUCGUUUCCGACUCAGUUGUUUGCGCCUUCCCUCUGCGGUUUUCUUUCCCUCCGUUUGGCUGGUAACCUUAACAGCAAAAUGGCCGCAGUGCACAAAUCUUCCCUGCGACAGAAAGAGGAUCACUCCAAGCCAAUAAAUUCAAGGGAUGCAUUUUGUCUUGAACAAAAAUCAGCACACAAUUGGACUUAGAUUAAAAAGAAAUAGUGAUAAUGAUAAACAUUCUGCAUUAUAUAUCAUAAUUCACUUCUUGUUUUAACUAACACCAUAAUGUUUUUUAAAAAGUCAUUUAAAGAGAGAGUUCACUUUCUGCAGUUUUCAAUUAGCCCAGACAGUCUUUUUUUUACAUGCAGUGAAAAAAGCUCAGCUCCACUGCCCCGCCCAGAGGUCUCGCCAGAGGUGACAGGUCUGUCGUCCUGUCUAGUGGAGUUGCUGGAGUCUGUAACCCCAUCCAUUCGGCCCGAGAGGAGCUGCCCUCACAAGCCCUCCAGAGGGUUCCUCGCCCUUAUGGCCUGCCGCCUGCCAUCAUCAGCCUGCCAGAGGCUCCAUCUCCAGCCCUGCGGUGGGUCCCUCACCGCUGCUUGAUGUCAUGAGCGUUCCAGAGGGUGUGCCUGCCUGCCAUGACCCCACCGAUGCGUCCGCCUGGGCCACCAGUGCCAGGAAGCCAGGUGUUUGAUCCUGGGGGUGGCCUUGGACUUCCUGGCACGGGUUAUAUAACUUCCUCCCAGGGCUCAAAGCUAGGUGAGGGUGUGUGGUGCCAGGAGGGAGUUAGGGUGCUGUCCACCAGGGGGCAGCACCAACCCUAUACACAGGUAUGGCCACAGCUGUGAUGCAUCAUAAUCACUACAUCACUACAGAGGCCCCUUCCCUAAUCAAUGGGCUUAAUAAAAGGCCUGAUUGUGAGGCCUUUUUGUAGAACUGCUGUGUUGGUGCUUGGGGUGGCAUUUUUUGGGUCUUUUUGGGUCUUUGUUUCCCACUCAGUAUUUACUAAGUAUUUUUGUUUUUGUUCCAGCGUAAUAAACUGAAGUCAGCCAAUUCACCCUCAGAGAGAAACGGUGAUCUGGAAAUUCUUGUUUAUGUGUCUGUAAUGUAACGAGCAUUUGUCCAGCAGACUUCAAAAAUUAAAUUAUUUAUUGCAGCACUUGACCUAGGACAGUGGUCUCCAACCCUGGUCUUGGAGAGAUACAGGGUCUGCUGGUUUUUGUUUUCACCUUAAAAUCAGCACCCAAUUGAGACCCAAGACACCAGGUGAGUUGAGAUAACUGUGUAAUCAACUGCUCUAAUUGAUUAAUGAAGUGCAGAGUCACUAUGAAAACCAGCAGACCCUGUAGCUCUCCAGGACCAGGGUUGGAGACCACUGACCUAGGGUAUAUGUUACAAGCAUAUAUAACCAUUUACAUAGCUGCAUUUAUUUAUAUAUGCAAAGACAUGCACACAGACGCAAGUGCGUGCAUGCACACACACGCACACAUAGUCCAAACUGUAUAGUAUAGGUUAAUGUUUCUGUUUUUGCAAGCUAAGCAGUACCAAGUGUACA